RNAcentral lists this ribosomal RNA (369 nucleotides) under uncultured organism. RNAcentral describes it as "bacterial SSU rRNA". It matches the Rfam family "Bacterial small subunit ribosomal RNA", at positions 526 to 896 of the family's 1533-position model. The record is from RNAcentral.
CGGAGGGUGCAAGCGUUAUCCGGAUUCGACUGGGUUUAAAGGGUGCGUAGGUGGGUUGGUAAGUCAGUGGUGAAAUCCCCGAGCUUAACUUGGGAACUGCCAUUGAUACUAUCAGUCUUGAAUAUUGUGGAGGUUAGCGGAAUAUGUCAUGUAGCGGUGAAAUGCUUAGAUAUGACAUAGAACACCAAUUGCGAAGGCAGCUGGCUACGCAUAUAUUGACACUGAGGCACGAAAGCGUGGGGAUCAAACAGGAUUAGAUACCCUGGUAGUCCACGCCCUAAACUAUGGAUACUCGACAUCAGCGAUACACUGUUGGUGUCUGAGCGAAAGCAUUAAGUAUCCCACCUGGGAAGUACGAUCGCAAGAUUG